GAUGAACGCUGGCGGCGUGCCUAAUACAUGCAAGUCGAGCGAACAGACGAGGAGCUUGCUCCUCUGACGUUAGCGGCGGACGGGUGAGUAACAAGUGGAUAACCUACCUCUAAGACUGGGAUAACUUCGGGAAACCGGAGCUAAUACCGGAUAAUAUAUUGAACCGCAUGGUUCAAUAGUGAAAGACGGUUUUGCUGUCACUUAUAGAUGGAUCCGCGCCGCAUUAGCUAGUUGGUAAGGUAACGGCUUACCAAGGCAGCGAUGCGUAGCCGACCUGAGAGGGUGAUCGGCCACACUGGAACUGAGACACGGUCCAGACUCCUACGGGAGGCAGCAGUAGGGAAUCUUCCGCAAUGGGCGAAAGCCUGACGGAGCAACGCCGCGUGAGUGAUGAAGGUCUUCGGAUCGUAAAACUCUGUUAUUAGGGAAGAACAAAUGUGUAAGUAACUAUGCACGUCUUGACGGUACCUAAUCAGAAAGCCACGGCUAACUACGUG
Molecule: ribosomal RNA, 497 nt
Filed under: uncultured bacterium
Lineage: Bacteria
Description: partial 16S ribosomal RNA
Rfam family: Bacterial small subunit ribosomal RNA
Source: RNAcentral